RNAcentral lists this ribosomal RNA (368 nucleotides) under Pseudomonas aeruginosa. RNAcentral's name for it is "bacterial SSU rRNA". It matches the Rfam family "Bacterial small subunit ribosomal RNA", at positions 1183 to 1533 of the family's 1533-position model. The record is from RNAcentral. Lineage: Bacteria; Pseudomonadati; Pseudomonadota; Gammaproteobacteria; Pseudomonadales; Pseudomonadaceae.
CGCGAACUCUAGACCCUUACGGCCAGGGCUACACACGCUGCUACAAUGGGUCCGUACAAAGGGUUGCCAAGCCGCGAGGUGGAGCUAAUCGCAUAAAACCGAUCGUAGUCCGGAGUUAGGAUCGCAGUCAGCUACUCGACUGCGUGAAGUCGGAUUCGCUAGUAAUCGUGAAUCAGAAUGUCACGGUGAAUACGUUCCCGGGCCUAGUACACACCGCCCGUCACACCAUGGGAGUUACAUCUGGGUUGCUCCAGAAGUAGCUAGUCUAAGCGCAAGCGGGACGGUUACCACGGAGUGAUUCAUGGCUUCUGGGGUGAAGUCGUAACAAGGUAGCCGUAGGAGAACCUGCGGUAGCAUCACCUCGUAUA